This 74-nucleotide transfer RNA is filed under the name Bidyanus bidyanus (Bidyan perch). RNAcentral's name for it is "tRNA-Leu". It matches the Rfam family "tRNA". From Rfam's summary of the family: Transfer RNA (tRNA) molecules are approximately 80 nucleotides in length. Their secondary structure includes four short double-helical elements and three loops (D, anti-codon, and T loops). The record is from RNAcentral. Lineage: Eukaryota; Metazoa; Chordata; Actinopteri; Centrarchiformes; Terapontidae.
GUUAGGGUGGCAGAGCUCGGCAAAUGCAAAAGACCUAAGCCCUUUUCACGGAGGUUCAAACCCUCUCCCUAACU